GACGAACGCUUUCUUCUUUCUUAACACAUGCAAGUCGAACGGAAAGGCCCCUUCGGGGGUCCUCGAGUGGCGAACAGGUGAGUAACACGUGAGUAACCUGCCCUUGACUUCGGGAUAACUUCAGGAAACUGGGGCUAAUACCGGAUAGGAAUCCUUGCUGCAUGGUGGGGGUUGGAAAGCUUCGGCGGUUUUGGAUGGACUCGCGGCUUAUCAGCUUGUUGGUGGGGUAGUGGCUUACCAAGGCUUUGACGGGUAGCCGGCCUGAGAGGGCGACCGGCCACAUUGGGACUGAGAUACGGCCCAGACUCCUACGGGAGGCAGCAGGGGGGAAUACUGCACAAUGGGCGGAAGCCUGAUGCAGCAACGCCGCGUGCGGGAUGACGGCCUUCGGGUUGUAAACCGCUUUCAGCAGGGGCGAAGCUUGUGGUGACGGUACCUGCAGAAGAAGCACCGGCUAACUACGUG
Molecule: ribosomal RNA, 465 nt
Filed under: uncultured bacterium
Lineage: Bacteria
Description: partial 16S ribosomal RNA
Rfam family: Bacterial small subunit ribosomal RNA
Source: RNAcentral